Molecule: long non-coding RNA, 1575 nt
Filed under: Canis lupus familiaris (dog)
Lineage: Eukaryota; Metazoa; Chordata; Mammalia; Carnivora; Canidae
Description: lncRNA (ENSCAFG00000055947.1)
Source: RNAcentral
GUAUUUUGCAUUGCUUGGUAUAGAUUGUCAGUUCAAAUGAGUUCAUUUAAACAAAUUUGAAUCCAUCCACUCAUAAUUUAGAAGAAAAAUUUAGAUUUGCAUGUCCUUAAAAUGGUCUUUUGGGGAGGUGAUUUUUUUUUUUAAGAUUUAAUUUAUUUAUUCAUGAGAGACACAGAGAUACAGAGACAUAGGCAGACAGAGAAGCGGACUCCUCAAAGGGAGCCUAAUGCAGGACUUGAUCCCAGGGCCCCAAGAUCAUGACCUGAGUCAAAGGCAGACACCCAACCACCGAGCCACUCAGGCAUCCAUAAAAUGGCCUUUUUAAGGAGACCAAAGACCUUGGGUCUAUGAGGACUUUAAAGAUACUCUAGGUCCUGGGGGAUCCCGAGUGGCUCAGUCAGUUAAGGGUCAGAUUCCUGAUUUUGGCUCAGGUUGUGAUCUGGGGAUUGUGAAAUCCAGCCCUGAGUUGGACUCUGCACCCCGCAGGAAGUUUGCUUCUCUCUCUCCUCUCUCCCUCUCCCUCUCCCUCUAUGCCCCCUCGUCCUCCCCUAAUUGUGCAUGCUCUCUCUAAAAGAAGUGAAUAACUUUUUUAAAAAGAUACUCUAGGGCAGCCCCAGUGGCCCAGCGUUUUAGCACCGCCUGCAGCCCAGGGUGUGAUCUUAGAGACUCGGGAUCGAGUCCCACGUCGGGCUUCCUCCAUGGAGCCUGCUUCUCCCUCUGCCUGUGUCUCUGCCUCUGUCUCUCUCUCUCUCUCUGUCUCACAUGAAUAAAUAAAUAAAAUCUUAAAAAAAAGAUACUCUAGGUCCUGAAACCAAUAUUACACAAUACAUUAACUAGAACUAGAAUUUGAAUAAAAAUUUUUGGGGAAAAAGAUAUUCUAGGGAUGCCUGGCUGGCUCAGUCAGAAGAGCAUGUGACUCUUGAUCUCAAGGUUAUAAGUUUGAGCUUCACAUUAGGUGUAGAGAUUGCUUAAUUAAAUAAAUAAGAUAAAAAUAUUCUAAAAAUCAUAGUCUAGGGGCACCUGGCUGGCUCAGUCUGUAAGAACAUGCAACUCUUUUUUUUUUUUUUAACAUGCAACUCUUGAUCUUGGGGUUGUGAGUUCAAAGCCCAUGUUGAGCAGAGAGCUUACUUAAAAAAGAGAGAAAAUAAAUAUCACAGUCUAAAAUUAAAUUUUCUACUGAUAAUGGUUUCUACCAUUAUACACUUUUAAAAAAUGCAGAUUCCUGCCUCCAUCUCACUUUUUGAUUUCCUGCUUCUGGGGUGGUGUCACUGACAAUCUCCAUCAUUUUUUUAGAUUAUGGUAAAAAUACACAAAUCUUCACAUUAACAUUCACAACUGAUACUUACAAAGCAGGAUGUCAGUGAACCACAUCUUGAGCAGUACUUCUCUGAAAUCUCAAAGUUUGGGAUCCCUGGGUGGCGCAGCAGUUUGGCGCCUGCCUUUGGCCCAGGGCGCGAUCCUGGAGACCCGGAAUCGAAUCCCACGUCGGGCUCCCGGUGCAUGGAGCCUGCUUCUCCCUCUGCCUGUGUCACUGCCUCUCUCUCUCUCUCUCUCUGUGAGUAUCAUAAAUAAAAA